GGGGUGCCUCCUCCAGGGGCCAGGGGGUCUGGUUUUAUAGUCCCCUCAAGUGAACCUGGGCCGUCGGAUCAAACCGACAUUGAUUGAACGGUUAUUCUUGAUCCUUUAGGUCGGUGGAGCAUAAUCCGCGAGGUUGAACAUGAUUGGCCACUGUAGCAGGGCGGGCGCCCUAAGGACUUGGGCGGGCGCCCAGGUCCUGGGCCCGAUCGGCCUCCCGUUCGUUCCCGUGGCUUCUGGAGUCUUCUAGAUGGUAGAAAAUUGCGCGACACGUUGAUAUCUCUAUGUAAACCCGACGUGUGGGCCUUUCUUUCUUAUUUCCUGAUAACCCCCUGCAGAAAUAGACAAACACCAAAACUCGUGGGAUUCUGUUAGAUAAAACCCUAAGUCUCGAUGUUGAUUUCAUUUGGAUCCUUUUCUUUGUUUAUUUGAUAGUUAAAUUUGAUACUUAAGGACCGUCAACAAACUCCCCCAAGCUUACCUCUUGCUCGUCCCUGAGCAAGGAUAGACUCAGCUAUGGAUCAUAAGUUGUUGCAAUAUCUUUAAAAAUUGACGGUACACAUGAUUUUAAAUGAGGUCUCAUCUCUGAGUUAGAGUAAACUGUCAAGACUUAAAACUUACUUACUUUACCUUUCACCAUGGGACUUGUAACCGUCACUUCUGUCUUGAGUGGUUAAAAGAUAGAACAGUCUAGCCAAGUGCCAUGUCUCUUAUUCUUGAUCAGCUAUAGCUCUGGAGUUUUUGUAGAUUUUCAAAUAAAACUCAGAGAUUCCUUGUAUGACUCUCUAAAUCUCUCUUUUGUGGUAUUUCUGGAUCCUUACCAAGACAGUGAUGGUAUAUGCCUUCUCUCAAGAUAUGUGGUAUUUGUGGUAUAAGGCACAGUGACAUUGUCUUCUCUCUCACCCUACUCUAAUAAGGCUUUAAUAUCUGGAGCUCAUAGGUGGGAGAUAAAAUAUACAUACUUACAAGACAUUUAUUGUAUAGUCAAACCAUGGAUCCAAAGAAACAAAUCAAUAAGCCAAAUCAAGAUGUGCAUGUGUGGCGAAUGAAUAGUGUAUGGUGAUGAUGGUGAUAACAAUGGUGAAAGUCUAAUUCUACUUUUGCUCUUUUGAGGGGAUACAUACCUUCCUUGCUUUUUAAAACUUUAUGAGGAGAAUGAGAUGCUCUUCUUUUUCUUUCCUCUCAGGUGGGUAUCUUAUACCCCUAAUUCUACUGUCGGACACUUGUCCAUUUUUACCUCUCGUCUCACUUUUUCUUUCUUUCGAGGUUCCGGGCACUUGCCCCUUUUUAUUUCCUCGUUUAUUAUUAUUUUUUUCUUUUCUUCUCUUUUCUUUUUUUUUCAGAGCACUCAUCUCCUGAAAUAAUGUAGCAAGUGGUAGUAACCAAAAUAACUGGAGCAUUUAUUUCACAGGGAAUAACAGGGAUAGGAAAAUGUUUUUGGCUAUUCUCUCCCGGAUUAGGAGUAGAAUGAUUUUGGGUGAAACUGGAGAUGGAAAUGGAUGGAUAUAUGUGGAUGGUACUUCCGGAGUAGAAGUAGCAUAUAUGAGUGAACGUGCAAGUGAAUCUUGAUUUAACCACAUGACAAGCUCCUAAAGGUCUACAUAGCUUGACCACACUCAAUGCUCAUAAGCAGUAAAUAAUAAAUGUGUGGCUCAAAUUCUAGCAAGCAUGUAUAUAUGGCUGUGGUAGGAAUUUAAACUUUCAUCAUACAGGAACUCAUCAUGCAACAUUUUAAAGAUUUUUUUCAAAGAUAAAAUUCUCCAGAAUUCUAGCAUCUCUAGGAACAGAUAAACAGCAGCUCAACCUUUCCAUAUCAUAUCCGUUAACAACUUAGAUUUCAGAUCAAGUUUUCAUCCCACAAGUUUAGAUCUAGAGCAAGCUUUAAAUUAUAACAGUUAUGUCUAAACUUGAGAGAGAACUUCAAAUUUGCAAAUUAGGCAGAGCAACUAUUCAUCAUAUCCAUGCUAGAGUUUUAUUAUUAAGAUUCAUAGCAAACUUUAUUUAUUUAUUUAUUUAUUUAUUUAGCAAACUAAGAAAAGAUAUAUAUAUAUAUAAGCAUAAAAUCUUUAUUUGGUUUUUCAUAGUUUAUGUAUUUUAAUAUUCUAAUAUAAUAUAAGUAUAAAGAUAGGUAGAAAUACUUAGCGAGAUAAAUGGGGGUGCUCUCCCCCAAGCUGAAUUUUGACGUAAUUUCUCUUGACGUAGCUAGCAGGUGGCAGAGGUGUAUUUGAAAGUCAGCAGCAUUCUGACAGCGAUUAGAAUGUCCUCCGUCUGCUAGUCUUCUUGAUUCUUAAAUUCUGUGGAGCUCAAAUAGACAACAAAGCUUGUGGAACUAAUUAAGUGUUAGCAUAAAUAUCUAGCCUUCAUCACGUUGAGCUUCCUCAAUAAAUAUUACUCCCUGUUUUUAUAUUUUUAUUUUAUAAAGUAAAAAAGAAAUAUUUAUUUUAUUUUUAUGCCACCACAGUGAAGGUAUUUAUGGGUUUUAUGCCACUCGUAUACUCACAUGGGGCUUAGUAUUUUUUAACAUUUUUAUUUUCUUUUCAAGAUUGCAUGAUUAACUAAUAAUCUAUUUAAGGCAAGUAAAUAAUUAAAGGGAAAAGGGAAUGCAGAAAGGAUAAAUAUGGAUAACUACCAUUCUUACCUUUCGGCGAGGGUUCAAUGUUUUAAGUCUUCUUGACAAGACUUCUCACCGUGUUCAUUCUUCAGGUGCGUCAUUUGAUUCAGGUGCGGACCUUGACGUCUGCACCUUUUAAUACGGUGUCACCCAUGUUCUUCGUUUGCCCAGCAGUUCGAAGUGCGGUGUUAGCAGUAUCUUGCUCAGUGUGUUUGUGCUCGUAGUGUAUCUGCUCAUAGAGACAAGGCAGAGAUCAAGUGCAUGGGUCUUGUUGGUGGAAAACACCAACAGAACCUAAAGUGUAUUUGUUCUUCUUUAACCCUAAGCAUAGUGAGCAAGACAAAGUUGAUGGAUGAUAAGUUCAUGAGUGUAGCACUUAUAACAUUUGUUAGAUCAGAUCGCACAACCUUAUGGAAAGAUAAUUUAUCUAUGUAUAUGUCUUUUUCUUUAUAUCUCUCAAUGAUUGAAUGUGUAACAUUUUAGCUCAUAUGAUUAGGAGUGUGGGAUCACGGAGGUAGUACUAAGAACAAGGAUUAAAGGACUAAACAUGUUGAAUCAGAUGGGUUGGUUAAUCUAGAGUUGUAAAUCAUACACGUUUGUCUCUUUUAUUUAUAUGAACGCCAGAACCAAGGAGAAGCUUAUAAAAGUGAUAGUCAAGUACCUUAAGAUGUUACCUUGCUCGAAUAGUGAUGGUACAGUAUCAUCUUGUGGAAGCUUUCCUUUCUUAGCGGUUGUGCGUCGUGUUUGUGACACCCUCCAUGGAUCAUCUCUUAUGAGCUAUGUCUUCCUUGUGUAAAUUGUUAAACUUCAUGUGUCACUCUCUUCGUCUCUGAUGUGAGUUUAUCUCAGGACUUCCCAAAUUGAUAUUGAAAGUUUUUCUGCAGGGGUUAGUCCGACAAAAUAUACCAAUAUCUACUC
Molecule: long non-coding RNA, 3526 nt
Filed under: Sorghum bicolor (sorghum)
Lineage: Eukaryota; Viridiplantae; Streptophyta; Magnoliopsida; Poales; Poaceae
Description: long non-coding RNA (SBIC_LNC013512)
Source: RNAcentral